Molecule: ribosomal RNA, 396 nt
Filed under: uncultured bacterium
Lineage: Bacteria
Description: partial 16S ribosomal RNA
Rfam family: Bacterial small subunit ribosomal RNA
Source: RNAcentral
AUACGUAGGUGACAAGCGUUAUCCGGAUUUACUGGGCGUAAAGGGCGUGUAGGCGGUCUUGCAAGUCAGAAGUGAAAUUCCUGAGCUCAACUCGGGCGCUGCUUCUGAAACUGCAGGACUUGAGUGCUGGAGGGGUAGCGGAAUUCCUAGUGGAGCGGUAAAAUGCGCAUAUAUUAGGGAGAACACCGGUGGCGAUCGCGGCUUUCUGGACACUACCUGUCGCUGAGGCACUAAAUCUCGGGGAGCGAACGGGAUUUGAUACCCUGGGAGUCCACGCUGUAAACGAUGAAUUCUAGGUGUAGGGGGUAUCGACGCCCUCUGUGCCGCAGGUUACACAAUAAGUAUUCCGCCUGGGGAGUACGGCCGCAAGGUUGAAACUCAAACGAAUUGACGGGG